AGAUUGAACGCUGGCGGCAGGCCUAACACAUGCAAGUCGAGCGGUAGAGAGGUGCUUGCAUCUCUUGAGAGCGGCGGACGGGUGAGUAAUGCCUAGGAAUCUGCCUAGUGGUGGGGGAUAACGUUCGGAAACGGACGCUAAUACCGCAUACGUCCUACGGGAGAGAGCGGGGGACCUUCGGGCCUCGCGCCAUUAGAUGAGCCUAGGUCGGAUUAGCUAGUUGGCGAGGUAAUGGCUCACCAAGGCGACGAUCCGUAACUGGUCUGAGAGGAUGAUCAGUCACACUGGAACUGAGACACGGUCCAGACUCCUACGGGAGGCAGCAGUGGGGAAUAUUGGACAAUGGGCGCAAGCCUGAUCCAGCCAUGCCGCGUGAGUGAAGAAGGCCCUUGGUUGUAAAGCUCUUUGUUGGGAAGAAAGCAAUCGGUUAAUACCCGGUUGUUCUGACGGUACCAAAGAAUAAGCACGCUAACUCGUGCCAGCAGCCGACG
RNAcentral lists this ribosomal RNA (491 nucleotides) under uncultured soil bacterium. RNAcentral describes it as "bacterial SSU rRNA". It matches the Rfam family "Bacterial small subunit ribosomal RNA", at positions 26 to 519 of the family's 1533-position model. The record is from RNAcentral.